ACUCCUACGGGAGGCAGCAGUGGGGAAUAUUGCACAAUGGGGGAAACCCUGAUGCAGCCAUGCCGCGUGUGUGAAGAAGGCCUUCGGGUUGUAAAGCACUUUCAGUAGGGAGGAAGGUAGUGUAGUUAACACCUGCAUUAUUUGACGUUACCUACAGAAGAAGCACCGGCUAACUCCGUGCCAGCAGCCGCGGUAAUACGGAGGGUGCGAGCGUUAAUCGGAAUUACUGGGCGUAAAGCGCAUGCAGGCGGCCUGUUAAGUCAGAUGUGAAACGCCCGGGGUACUUAACCGUCGGAAUUGCAUUUGAAACUGGCAGGCUAGAGUCUUGUAGAGGGGUUAGAAUUUCAGGUGUAGCGGUGAAAUGCGUAGAGAUCUGAAGGAAUACCGAGUGGCGAAGGCGGUCCCCGUGGACAAAGACUGACGCUCAGAUGCGAAAGCGUGGG
This 443-nucleotide ribosomal RNA is filed under the name uncultured bacterium. RNAcentral's name for it is "bacterial SSU rRNA". It matches the Rfam family "Bacterial small subunit ribosomal RNA", at positions 335 to 765 of the family's 1533-position model. The record is from RNAcentral.